GAGGUUGCAGUGAGCUGAGAUCGCGCCAUUGGACUCCAGCCUGGGCGACAAGCGUGAAACUCCAUCUCAAGGAAACAAGAGACAGCUUCUAGGAUGUCACCACCCUGCCCCAAUUUAUUACUGGGUCAUAUUGUUUUAGGAAGUUUCUUCCCCUUAUCCUUUAGUUUCUGCAUUUAAAGAGGGACAGGGGCUAGGUGGGGUGGGAGAGGCCAUGGCCUCAGGCACACAUUUAAGGUGGUAUCCCAAAUCUCAGCUGAUCAAGGUAAAUACCAUAACGCAACUUUUUAAAAACCAAAAUGAAUGCAAAAGAAACCUACAAUGAACAGGAUGUCAGAACUCUAAACACGGGAUCCAACUCUGCUUGCACAGCCCUGACUUGCCCUAAUCCCAGGCCAACUUUCCACAGAACUACAAAAACAAAGCAGAUGACCUGUGGGGCCACCGUUUGCCAAUCUGCAUUAAAAUAUUUUUUGGCGACUGAGUUCUCGGCACUCCCUUAAGUCUCAUGUCCCAGGCAAGUGCCUCACCCUAUCCCAGCUCUGGGUAGCACCUGGGAGAAAAACACCUGCAGACAGGUAAAGUUCUUAGUGCAGUGCCUGGCUCAGUCAUGAUGGCAACUCGAAUUGAGGCUCAUCUGCUUUCUUAGAAGAGGUUAAAUACAGGGAGACAAACAAGCUAUUUGUGUUCUGUAGUGUCUAGAAGGCAGCAAGAAACCUUAAGCAGAGGGGCGGGAGAUCGCCUUGAUUUCUGUUCUUCAGUGGAGAUUUUACAAGCUGAUCUGAGUAAAGAUCAAAAGGAUCCAGUUUUCCCCAAUACCUAACCGGAAACUCAUCUGUCUGUGGCAUGGAGCAACACCUUCCUUAAAGUGGCCCCACGAAAUUUUUCUAAAGAUGGAGUCGCAUUGCUACCCAGGCUCGACUUGAACUCUUGGGCUCAAAUAGUUCUUCCUAGCUCAGUCUCCCAAGUAGCUGGGACCAUAGACACUCAUUACUGAUGCUGGCUCAAUUUCAUGUUAACAUUUCCCCCUUGCCUUUUAUCCAAGGCCAAUCACCCUGUUGCUUGUACUUAGGGGUUAACAGACUGGCCUUCCAAAUCAUGUCCUUUUUAUAAAUAAAGUUUUAUUGGCCCACAGCUAAACUUAUUUCCUUCCCUAUUCUCUGUAGCUGCAUUACAGUGGCCGAGUUGGAACCUCUGUGCUACAACAGCAGUGGCAACAGAGCUGAUAACAAGUAGGACCAGCAAAGCUCAAAACAUUUACUAUCUGGCCCUUAACUGAAAAAGUUUGCGGAUCCCUGGGGCUCAGGUGAAGUCAAACUGCAAACAUUCUCAGUUUCCUCUUCCAGAUCCAGAGGGCUCUGCAAAUCAAGGCUGGUGUAAGAAUUGCCAUUCUGGUCUGUGCCAUGUCAGCUGCUCCUUUCUAUUAAGGCUGUUUUAUUUGGUUAUUACCUGUACAUUUUAAGUCUCAUUCUAGCAGGUUUAGCCAGUUCAGCCCCCAAUUCCGAAUGAUUUAACCCCAUCCACUGCCAUCUUCUAAUUUCCUAGAAAUGGUAAGGUAAGACUACCCCUACUCCUACAAGUUUCCUGGUCCUAGACUUCCCUCUUAGCCUACUUUUCUCUGAAUCUUGGAAUUCUUACCAGUCUCAAAAAUUCUUUUAAGUUACCCAAAUUCUUUUUAAUACUCAUUCAGCCUUAUUCUCUUGAACUACACUCUCAGCUUUGUGCAAAUCCCAUUUGUGUCUCUGCCAGAAAAUUUGGUAUCUUUUAGUGUGUUUUACAAGUCACACUUGCCAGUUCAGAGCAAAGUACUCUGCAGGAGGGCUUGCUACAUUCUAAGACCAUGGGCCAAAUCUAGCCUGCCACCUGUUUUUGUAAAGUUUUAUUGGAACACAGACACACUUGUUUUUUCUUGCAAUCUAUGGUUGCUUUUGCACUAAAACCACAGAGCUGAGUAGUUGCAAAAAACUUUAUGGCCCCACCCACUGCCUGAAGUAAAUAUUGGGUUCACAGCUUUUUACUCACCUCUGCUCUAUUGGGAAUCCAAGUUUGCUGGGUGAUACCAGCUUGGAUAUAAAAUCCUUAAAGUCCAUACAGCUGUUAACAAAAAAUGCCUUCUAAAAAGGCUGAUAUCUUUCCUCUUUGUCUAAAGAGCUAUAACAAGAAGUACAAGGAACGUUUAUGUGAUUUCAAUCUAUGGGUUCCCACUUGAAAGGUCAACAACCUUCUAGAACAGAAACGCAGAUCAGAUUCACGACAAACAGCAGAAAGGUAACAAUAGCAACUGUACAAUAGCACCAGCAUUCAGUAACCAAACACUUUUCUGAUCAAAACGAUCAUCUCCAAAGAGACUAAUUCUAUCCUGGGUCUCUGUCAUCAUUUUAAUCUUUUCUUCUUACAAUAGAGAUUCAGCAGUACACCAUCACCUACCUGAUGUAAAACUUAAACGGAGUCAGAUUUGCCCAAACUACCACCAUUCACAAAAUAAACUAGGUACCUCUAUUUCACAAGUGAAAUAGUCCCUUCUACACAACCUAUAAAAUCUUACAUCCUUUUUUCUUAGUUUACCAGGAACAAUGGAUCUACUUAAUCUGUUUCAAUUCCAGAGAUGUUCAGCUUGAUGAGGGCACACAAGACUUUAUAUUUAAAAAGAGUAUUUGAAGGAAAGAUGCCAAAAGUAGAAACCAAGCAACUUUGGGUCACAAGGGCCGCUGCUUCUGGGUCACAGCCCAAGGGAGGCAUGCCAUGGGCUCCCUGGCCUGCUUCCAUUGCCUGCUGGCUAAGCGAUGCAGAGAACUACAGCAGCUGCCUCAGACCCAGAGGCUAAGCCAAGUGUUCAGGAUGGCAGAGCCAUUGGACCAGCUGUGGACUCUAUGCCUCUGAAGAUGUACUCAAGAAAUAAACUGGAUUACGUUUAA
This 2912-nucleotide long non-coding RNA is filed under the name Homo sapiens (human). Its description in RNAcentral is "HSALNT0401749". The record is from RNAcentral. Lineage: Eukaryota; Metazoa; Chordata; Mammalia; Primates; Hominidae.